AUGGCGGCUGUCCUUGAUGCUUUGGCAGCCCGUGUGAUGAACAACAUCAUGGACAUGGGAGAAGAGAAGAUUCGCAUGCUGCUUGGCGUCUCCCACGAGAUCAACAAGCUGCAAGGCAACGUGGAACCCCUCCGGAACCUCCUCACCAAUGCCGAGAGGAGGCGAAUCACCGACAAGAGCGUGCAGGCGUGGGUGACCAAGCUCAAGGAUGCCAUGUACGAGGCCGAAGACAUCCUUGAUCUCUGCCACCUCGAGGCCAUGGACCGAGAGGAGAAGCAGCACUCCACCGGCUUAUGCCUCCGGCUCCAGGAGAAGCUGCCAUUUCUGGGCUGCGUGGGGGAGAAGCUGCAGGGUAUCCUCCAGCCAUUUCUCUUCUUCGUGCAAAACCCGGGAUUUGCCAACCAGGUAGGAAGCCGCAUCAAGAAUCUCAACGAUCAGCUGCUCACCAUCCGCAACGGUGUUGAUGGCUUCAACUUAAACAUUGACCUUACCUCGUACGAGGAACGGAGGAGGCCGCUCACCAGUUCUGCACACCCUAGGCGCGAGAACGCACAAGUCGUCGAGUCAGUUCUGCACACCGAUGAUUGGUUACGCCGGUACUUUGCUGACUCCUCGUUGAUGGAGAUCUUCGAGGCAGGAUAA
Molecule: ribosomal RNA, 642 nt
Filed under: Triticum aestivum (bread wheat)
Lineage: Eukaryota; Viridiplantae; Streptophyta; Magnoliopsida; Poales; Poaceae
Description: partial small subunit ribosomal RNA
Source: RNAcentral